Molecule: ribosomal RNA, 253 nt
Filed under: uncultured bacterium
Lineage: Bacteria
Description: partial 16S ribosomal RNA
Rfam family: Bacterial small subunit ribosomal RNA
Source: RNAcentral
GACGUAGGGCGCGAGCGUUGUCCGGAUUUAUUGGGCGUAAAGAGCUCGUAGGCGGCUUGUCGCGUCGACCGUGAAAACUUGGGGCUCAACCCCAAGCCUGCGGUCGAUACGGGCAGGCUAGAGUUCGGUAGGGGAGACUGGAAUUCCUGGUGUAGCGGUGAAAUGCGCAGAUAUCAGGAGGAACACCGGUGGCGAAGGCGGGUCUCUGGUACGUGACUGACGCUGAGACGCGAAAGCGUGGGGAGCGAACAGG